RNAcentral lists this ribosomal RNA (469 nucleotides) under uncultured bacterium. RNAcentral's name for it is "bacterial SSU rRNA". It matches the Rfam family "Bacterial small subunit ribosomal RNA", at positions 28 to 489 of the family's 1533-position model. The record is from RNAcentral.
GAUGAACGCUAGCGGCAGGCUUAAUACAUGCAAGUCGUGGGGCAGCGCAGUGUAGCAAUACAUGGGCGGCGACCGGCAAACGGGUGCGGAACACGUACACAACCUUCCUUCAAAUGGGGAAUAGCCCAGGGAAACUUGGAUUAAUACCCCGUAACAUUAUGAGGUGGCAUCACUUUAUAAUUAUAGCUCCGGCGUUUGGAGAUGGGUGUGCGGCUGAUUAGGUAGUUGGCGGGGAACGGCCCACCAAGCCUUCGAUCAGUAACUGGUGUGAGAGCACGACCAGUCACACGGGCACUGAGACACGGGCCCGACUCUACGGGAGGCAGCAGUAAGGAAUAUUGGGCAAUGGACGCAAGUCUGACCCAGCCAUGCCGCGUGGAGGAUGAAGGUCCCUCUGGAUUUGUAAAACUUCUUUUCUCUGGGGCGAAAAAUAGGUAUUCUUACUUACUUGACAGUACCAGAGGAAUAA